GACGAACGCUGGCGGCGUGCCUAAUACAUGCAAGUUGAGCGCUGAAGGUUGGUACUUGUACCAACUGGAUGAGCAGCGAACGGGUGAGUAACGCGUGGGGAAUCUGCCUUUGAGCGGGGGACAACAUUUGGAAACGAAUGCUAAUACCGCAUAAAAACUUUAAACACAAGUUUUAAGUUUGAAAGAUGCAAUUGCAUCACUCAAAGAUGAUCCCGCGUUGUAUUAGCGAGUUGGUGAGGUAAAGGCUCACCAAGGCGAUGAUACAUAGCCGACCUGAGAGGGCGAGCGGCCACAUUGGGUCGUAGACACGGCCCAAACUUCUACGGGAGGUAGCCGUAGGGAAUAUUCGGCAAAGGACGAGAGUCUGACCGAGCAACGCCGCGUGAGUGAAGAAGGUUUUCGGAUCGUAAAACUCUGUUGGUAGAGAAGAUCGGUGGUGGUAGUGGAAAGCUCAUCAAGUGACAAUAACUACCCAGAAAGGGAAGGCUAACUACGUG
This 497-nucleotide ribosomal RNA is filed under the name uncultured bacterium. Its description in RNAcentral is "partial 16S ribosomal RNA". It matches the Rfam family "Bacterial small subunit ribosomal RNA", at positions 28 to 507 of the family's 1533-position model. The record is from RNAcentral.